Molecule: ribosomal RNA, 460 nt
Filed under: uncultured bacterium
Lineage: Bacteria
Description: partial 16S ribosomal RNA
Rfam family: Bacterial small subunit ribosomal RNA
Source: RNAcentral
CCUACGGGUGGCAGCAGUGAGGAAUAUUGGACAAUGGGCGCUAGCCUGAACCAGCCAAGUAGCGUGAAGGAUGACUGCCCUCUGGGUUGUAAACUUCUUUUUUAUGGGAAUAUAGUGCAGUAUGUAUACUGCUUUGCAUGUACCUUAUGAAUAAGGAACGGCUACCUCUGUGCCAGCAGCCGCGGUAAUACGGAGGAUCCGGGCGUUAUCCGGUGUUAUUGGGUUUAAAGGGAUCGUAGGCGGGUUGUUAAGUCAGAUGUGAAAGUUUGCGGCUCAACCGUAAAAUUGCAGUUGAUACUGGCAUCCUUGAGUACAGUAGAGGUAGGCGGAAUUCGUGGUGUAGCGGUGAAAUGCUUAGAUAUCACGAAGAACUCCGAUUGCGAAGGCAGCCUGCUGGACUGUAACUGACGCUGAUGCUCGAAAGUGUAGGUAUCAAACAGGAUUAGAUACCCUUGUAGUC